RNAcentral lists this transfer RNA (64 nucleotides) under Vibrio sp. HENC-03. RNAcentral's name for it is "partial tRNA-Ala". It matches the Rfam family "tRNA", at positions 13 to 71 of the family's 71-position model. Rfam says of the family: Transfer RNA (tRNA) molecules are approximately 80 nucleotides in length. Lineage: Bacteria; Pseudomonadati; Pseudomonadota; Gammaproteobacteria; Vibrionales; Vibrionaceae. The record is from RNAcentral. RNAcentral also lists the same sequence under 1 other name.
CAGCUGGGAGAGCGCCUGCCUUGCACGCAGGAGGUCUGCGGUUCGAUCCCGCAUAGCUCCACCA